Long non-coding RNA from Symphalangus syndactylus (siamang), 775 nucleotides. RefSeq lists it as uncharacterized. The record is from RefSeq and is a predicted model, not a curated record. NCBI's taxonomy places the organism in Eukaryota, Metazoa, Chordata, Mammalia, Primates, Hylobatidae.
CUUGGCUCGGCACUUCUCCUUCCUGCUACCUCGUGAAGAAGGUGCUUUGCUUCCCCUUCAGCUUCCACCACGAUUGCAAGUUUCCUGAGGCCUCCCUGGCAAUGCUGAACUGUGGUCUCUGGACCAGCAACAGCAGCAGCAGCAGCAGCAGCUACUAGGGAUUUAUUAGAAAUGCAAGUUUUGGAGUUUUAUCCCAGACCUACUUAAUCGGAAACUUUGGAGUGGGGCCCAGCAUGCUGGGUUGUAUCAAUGUUCUGAUGCAUGCCAAAGCCCUGGGGCUCAUAAUUAUCUGGAACAGCUGUAACAGAUCUGCUCUCACUGGUCCUUAAAUUGUAUUGUAAGCUGCGGAUCCCUUCUUUCUGAACACCAAAGUGCGUGAGUUCUUGGAAGAUCUGAUGAUUUUAUAAGGGGCUUUUUGCCUUUUGCUCUGCACUUCUUCUGCUGCCAUAUGAGGAAGGAUGUGUUUGCUUCCCCUUCUGCCAUGAUUGUAAGUUUCCUGAGGCCUCCCCAGCCAUGCGGAACUGUGAGUCAAUUAAAUCUCUUUCCUUUGUAAAUUAUCUAGUCUCUGGCAGUUCUUUUUUUUUUUUUUUCUCAUUCAAAAUACUCUGCUAAUUUAACGUAUAUUUUAGAAAGAGGAGUUCUUUACAAGGCAGUAGGACAGUGGUUUCUGGGCUGGUGUCCAAGAUACCAAGGAGGAAAUUGUUGUAUUCUGUCCCUUGAAAAGAUUAUGAUAGUUAACAAAUGCACAUGGUCACUUUACUUAUUAUUAAUGUGA